ACGAGAAAGUUAUCAACGAAAUUAGUC
RNAcentral lists this small RNA (27 nucleotides) under Bombyx mori (domestic silkworm). RNAcentral's name for it is "ovarian small RNA-11438". The record is from RNAcentral. Lineage: Eukaryota; Metazoa; Arthropoda; Insecta; Lepidoptera; Bombycidae.